Molecule: transfer RNA, 1812 nt
Filed under: Ursus maritimus (polar bear)
Lineage: Eukaryota; Metazoa; Chordata; Mammalia; Carnivora; Ursidae
Description: lncRNA (ENSUMAG00000014942.1)
Rfam family: tRNA (bases 1694-1766)
Source: RNAcentral
CGUCCCCAAGAACGCUUACUGAAAGGUACUAAAACUUGGGAAAUGAGCAGAGAGAGAGGGAGAACCAAGAGAUCCAACUUGAUUCUCCAUUGAAUGAUUUUAAUUUUUCUGCAACUUUUAAGGGCCAGAACUUUUUCACAAAUGAAAUCUUGCACAGUUCCAACACACAAAGCGGAUACAAGGGAAUUUGCCCUGGUUGAGGCAGGAAGGGGAAGGAGAGAGGAGACUUAUGCCACCCUUCUUGACCCUCAGCUCUCACCAACCAAUCCAGCCUUCCUUGAAAAUGCAGUUUGAAACCCUUGGAUGUCAAACCAGUCUAGUCUCUAGUUCAGAUGAGGCCACAAAUCGAGGGUUUGAGGUUUCCAAGACACUGUGUCCGGACUAAGAUGACACCAGUGUAGGUGACCCGUAGGAAAAGAACGCUGGAUAAACAUCCAAAGACAUAAGUUCUGAUCCUGGCUCUUCCACCAGUUGGCUGAGUGGUCUAGACAGAGUCCCUUGGACUCUCCUACAUAAUGAAACCGAAACUAUAUGACCUCUGAGAGCCUUUCCAGAGCCAACGUUCUUGUCCAAAUUGGCUGAUUUAUGGUGACUGGGAGGGAAGCCUACACAAUUCUCUUAGUGCCCAGGUCCAGACUGGGAGCCUCGCUGCAGGCUCAUGUGGAAAUGGGCAAAUGGAAUGUGCUUUUAGGGGCGCCUGGGUGGCUCAGUUGGUUAAGCGUCUGCCUUCGGCUCAGGUCAUGAUCUCAGGGUCCUGGAAUCAAGCCCCACAUCGGGCUCCCUGCUAAGUGGGGAACCUAUUUCUCCCUCUGCCCUUCCCCCUAUGUAUGCACACUCUUGCUCUCUCUCAAAAAAUAGAUAAAAUCUUAAAAAAAGGCGGGGGGAUAUGUUUAUAGCCAUCUUCUCCUCUGCCCUGUGCUGGUCCUAUGCUGGGUCCUUGUGGCCUCCCCACUACAUUGAACUAUGGGUAGGUACAUGCCCCCCAUGGUCAAUGCCCCCUGCUCUGGUCCCUUUGAUCCUGUGCUCCAGUUCCACAAAAACAUAUCUGACUUCUGUCCUGGGUCUUCAGGCUGACCCUUCCUUCCCGGGCACCAGUUACUUAACAUGUAUGUCAAAGGCACUGAGAAUUCUCUUUCCAAAAUCUGCUGCCUCGUGUGUGACCACCUCUCUCACUUCUUAAUGCCACUGCCACUAUUCCUGGUUUGCAACUCAGCAUACCUGGCUUAUCACUACUGAACGGGUAUCUUAUCUACACAGCACAGCAAACCAAGAACAGUAGGGGAGAACAUAGAUCUUUAAAAGAUAAUUCUGGUGGCGCCUGGGUGGCUCAGUCGGUUAAGUGUCUGCCUUCAGCUCAGGUCAUGAUCCUGGGGUCCUGGAAUCAAGUCCUGCAUCAGGCCUGCUCCGUGCGGGUUCUGCUUCUCCCUCUCCCUCUGCCGCUGUCCCUGCUUGUGUUCUCUCGGGAUCCAGCCCCGCAUCAGGCCUUCUGUUCCGUGCGGGUUCUGCUUCUCCCUCUCCCUCUGCCGCUGUCCCUGCUUGUGCUCUCUCACUUUCUCUCUCUCAAAUAAUCUUUUAAAAAAAGACAAUUCUGUUUUUAAACAAACAAGCAAACAACCCUGUCGUUAAUUUUGCUGAAUAACGUGCAGUUGGGCAGAGUUUUCUGUGUCUAGAGUUAAGAUAGGCAUGAAGUAGUGCCUGACUGGCUCAGUUGGUAGAGCGCAUGACUCUUGAUCUUGAGGCUGUGAGUUCGAGCCCCAUGUUGGGUGUAGAGAUUACUUAAAUAAAAAAACUUGAAGAAAAAAAAAAGAAACA